UACCCAAUACAUGCUAGCCAGUAGAGGAA
RNAcentral lists this non-coding RNA (29 nucleotides) under Mus musculus (house mouse). The record is from RNAcentral. Lineage: Eukaryota; Metazoa; Chordata; Mammalia; Rodentia; Muridae.